ACAGCAGCCGCGGUAAUACGGAGGAUGCAAGCGUUAUCCGGAUUCAUUGGGUUUAAAGGGUGCGUAGGCGGAAUAAUAAGUCAGUGGUGAAAUCUUGCAGCUUAACUGUAAAAUUGCCUUUGAUACUGUUAUUCUUGAGUGCAGUUGAGGUAGGCGGAAUGUGUAAUGUAGCGGUGAAAUGCUUAGAUAUUACACAGAACACCGAUUGCGUAGGCAGCUUACUAAACUGUAACUGACGCUGAGGCACGAAAGCGUGGGGAGCAAACAGGAUUAGAUACCCUGGUAGUCCACGCCGUAAACGAUGAUCACUCGCUGUUAGCGAUAAACAGUUAGCGGCUAAGUAAAAGCAUUAAGUGAUCCACCUGGGGAGUACGUCGGCAACGAUGAAACUCAAAGGAAUUGACGGGGGCCCGCACAAGU
RNAcentral lists this ribosomal RNA (420 nucleotides) under uncultured bacterium. Its description in RNAcentral is "bacterial SSU rRNA". It matches the Rfam family "Bacterial small subunit ribosomal RNA", at positions 508 to 930 of the family's 1533-position model. The record is from RNAcentral.